AGUGAACGCUGGCGGUAGGCCUAACACAUGCAAGUCGAACGGCAGCACAGUAAGAGCUUGCUCUUACGGGUGGCGAGUGGCGGACGGGUGAGGAAUACAUCGGAAUCUACUUUUUCGUGGGGGAUAACGUAGGGAAACUUACGCUAAUACCGCAUACGACCUACGGGUGAAAGCAGGGGAUCUUCGGACCUUGCGCGAUUGAAUGAGCCGAUGUCGGAUUAGCUAGUUGGCGGGGUAAAGGCCCACCAAGGCGACGAUCCGUAGCUGGUCUGAGAGGAUGAUCAGCCACACUGGAACUGAGACCCGGUCCAGACUCCUACGGGAGGCAGCCGUGGGGAAUAUUGGACAAUGGGCGCAAGCCUGAUCCAGCCAUACCGCGUGGGUGAAGAAGGCCUUCGGGUUGUAGAGCCCUUUUGUUGGGAAAGAAAAGCAGCAGGUUAAUACCCCGCUGUUCUGACGGUACCCAAAGAAUAAGCACCGGCUAACUUCGUG
Molecule: ribosomal RNA, 492 nt
Filed under: uncultured bacterium
Lineage: Bacteria
Description: partial 16S ribosomal RNA
Rfam family: Bacterial small subunit ribosomal RNA
Source: RNAcentral